Daktulosphaira vitifoliae (grape phylloxera) is the source of this 2584-nucleotide long non-coding RNA. RefSeq lists it as uncharacterized. The transcript has 4 exons. NCBI's taxonomy places the organism in Eukaryota, Metazoa, Arthropoda, Insecta, Hemiptera, Phylloxeridae. The record is from RefSeq and is a predicted model, not a curated record.
CGCACCCGACUCCGACCAGUCGGUACUGCGGUUCAAAAACACAAGGCGAGAGGAGUCGGUUCCAGUGGUUGUGUACGCAGACAUGGAGAGUUUGUUGGUUCGUGCCGAGCAACAAGUGUCCAAGUACUGUACGGUUACACAAGAUCACCAGGCGAUGAUCUACUGUUUCUAUGUGGUACGCCAUUCUAAGGUGUUGCCGAAAAAUAUUUGCGAUGGACUACCAAACGAACCGGUACUGUACCGGGGACUGGAUGCGGUCAAACACUUUAUCACGACGUUGGUAACCAUUGGUAAACGCAUAUCGGACAUAAUGAAUGUGAACAUCGAUAUGACGCCACUGACACCGGAGGAACAACUACGUUUCGAUACAACGAAUAAUUGCGAGUUGUGUUCAAUUAGGUUCACGGAUAAAGUAAAAAAAGUCAAGGAUCACAACCACUGGACGGCUCGGUUUCCUUCCGUUUUGUGUAACAAAUGCAACCUGUAACGACGUCCACCGGCCUUUAUCAUACACGGUCUGUCCAACUACGACUCGCACAUGAUUAUCCCAGAAUUGGCGUACGACGAUAAAAACAUAUAUAUCAUUGCACAGUCCGAAAAAAAGUACAUCAUGUUCAGCAAGACCAUAGAUGAUUAUUUUCGUAUCCGGUUCAUAGAUUCCUAUCGGUUUCUACAAGCUAGUUUAUCUAAGCUGACCGCCACAUUGUCGACACCGGAUUUCGUGCAUACACACAAAGUGUUUGAAUCGCUGGAGUUGGUCACCCUAAAAUCUGUUUUUCCGUACGAGUACGUCGACUGUUGGGAGAGGCUCGAAGAAACACGAUUGCCGCCCCGUGACCAAUUUUACAGCUCGAUCACGCAUCAGACGGUGUCCGAGGAAGACUAUGAACACGGUAAAAAAAUGUGGCAACACUUCAGUUGCAACACUCUCGGUGAUUACAGCGACAAGUAUUUACUUGUUGACGUAAUGAUACUGGCCGAUGUGUUUGAAAAAUUUCGGAAGGAAAGUCUGACAAAUUAUAAACUCGAUCCCGCACAUUAUUUUUCGUGUCCGGCAUUGUCGUUCGAUGCAAUGUUGAAGUACACGGACGCAUACAUUGAACUAUUGACGGACCCGGAUAUGUUGUUGAUGUUCGAAAUGGGUAUACGCGGAGGUUUACGCAAGUUAAUCAGCGGUAUGCUCGAGCAAACCACCCAGAUGUCCCCGACUACAACCCCGAUUUGCCUCACAAAUACCUUCAGUAUUUGGACGCUACUAAUUUGUACGGGACAGCCAUGAUGGAACCUAUUCCGUUUGGAUAUUUUGAGUGGUCGACGGCAACGCUGGAAGAAGUACUGAACACCCCCGACGACGGUGAUUACGGAUACCUGGUGGAAAUCGAUGCACAUUAUCCUCGUGAAUUGCACGAUUUACACAAUGAUUUACCAUUUUUUCCGGUAAACGAGCGAUCACCGUUGUCGUCUUCGAAACACAGCAAGUUGAUGACCACGUUACAACCAAAACGUGGUUAUAUCGUGCACUACCGCGCACUAAAACUAGCUGUGAAACACGGUGUGAUCAUAAAAAACUGCAUAAAUGUAUAAAAUUUAUGCAAUCCCGCUGGUUGGCACCGUACAUUCAGUUGAACACGGAAUUGCGUAAAAAAGCGACCACCACAUUUGGACAAAACAUGGCUAAACUGAUGAUCAACUCAAACUAUGGAAAAACAUUGGAGAACGUACGGAAACACCAAAACAUACAACUCGUGUGCAACCCAAAGAAACUGUCGAGAUUAGCGGCAAAACCGUCGUUUAGUCACACCAUCGUAUUCAACAAAAAUCUGGUUGCCGUGCACAUGUAUAAGGAGAAGAUCAAUUUUUACAAACCCAUUUUUAUUGGACAGGCCAUAUUGGAUAUAAGUAAAUGUAUAAUGUACAAGUUCCAUUACGAGGUUAUGAUGCCGUUGUACGGACCCGAGCGACUUCUACUCUGUUACAUGGACACCGAUAGUUUCAUUUACUUGAUAACGACCAACUGAUUCCACGAUGAUUUGAAAAAGUACUUACUAGAAUAUUUCGACACGUCGAAUUACCCGAUCGAUCACCCUUGUUACACCGAUCGACGAAAAAAACAACCGGGCACGUUUACUGAUGAAUGCAAGGGUAAGCAUAUACAAGAAAUUAUCGCAUUGUUACCCAAAGUGUACGCUUAUUCAAUAGCCAUACAAAAUUACUACGACAGGUUGUUGGUUACGUGGCAAACGGACGAGGUGAAGCGAUUGAAAGGCAUGAGCAUGGGUGUGGUGAAACAUGAAAUCAAAAUGGUUGUCUAUUUGAAUUGCUUGCGUGGUACACUCAAGCAAACCCGCAGGGAAAUGUCCGUAAUACGCACGAAACACCAUAGUGUUUCGACGGUUGAAAUUAAUAAACUCGCGUUGGUCAACAACAACAACUACGAUAAGCGGGCGUUAAUCGGUGACGAAGGAGAGUACAAGGACGUGUAUACAAAAGCGUGGGGGCAUUAUUCUCUGGUCGAUGAUGACCACAAUGACGACGACGAAGAAACAAAUUAAACUCAAAGUGUAAAUUAUUUAUAUUUAAUAAA